RNAcentral lists this long non-coding RNA (361 nucleotides) under Heterocephalus glaber (naked mole-rat). Its description in RNAcentral is "lncRNA (ENSHGLG00100036319.1)". The record is from RNAcentral. Lineage: Eukaryota; Metazoa; Chordata; Mammalia; Rodentia; Bathyergidae.
GGCGCACCGGCUCAGGGAGGACUGCCACAGGCCAGGUUUAUGAGCACAGCAAAUCAUCGCUCUCUUAAAUCACUAAGCUUUGGGAUGAUGUGUUGUACAGUAAAUAACUGGACCAUAAUCAGUAGUUUGAGAGACCACCAGCAAGAUUCUAUUGCAUGCCAAAAUACGGUGCCACUGCCUGAGAGAGAUGGUGUCCAGGUCAAGACCCAGGCAUCGUGGGAUGAGGUCAGAGCAAAGGUGACUGCAGAUGUAUCGUCAUGGGACCCAGCUCUCCAAUGAAGAUGUAAAGUAUUUCCCAUUGCCCCAGAAAACUUCUUUCUCAUCCCAGUGCCUGGAAAAUUCUGGAAAUAAAUAUACCCCA